GCCGGGUGCGGUGGCGGGCGCUUGUAGUCCCAGCUACUUGGGAGGCUGAGGCAGGAGAAUGGUGUGAACCCGGGAGGCGGAGCUUGCAGUGAGCCGAGAUCGCGCCACUACACUCCAGCCUGGGCGACAGGGCGAGACUCCAUCUCAAAAAAAAAAAANNNNNNNNNNUUUUUUUUUUUUGAGAUGGAGUCUCGCCCUGUCGCCCAGGCUGGAGUGUAGUGGCGCGAUCUCGGCUCACUGCAAGCUCCGCCUCCCGGGUUCACACCAUUCUCCUGCCUCAG
Molecule: non-coding RNA, 281 nt
Organism: Gorilla gorilla gorilla (western lowland gorilla)
Lineage: Eukaryota; Metazoa; Chordata; Mammalia; Primates; Hominidae
Rfam family: Metazoan signal recognition particle RNA
About the family: The signal recognition particle (SRP) is a universally conserved ribonucleoprotein. It is involved in the co-translational targeting of proteins to membranes.
Source: Rfam